UGAGGAAUAUUGGUCAAUGGGCGAGAGCCUGAACCAGCCAAGUAGCGUGCAGGAUGACGGCCCUAUGGGUUGUAAACUGCUUUUAUAUGGGAAUAAAGUGAGGGACGUGUCCCUUAUUGCAUGUACCAUAUGAAUAAGUACCGGCUAAUUCCGUUCCCGCAGCCGCGGUAAUACGGAAGGUCCAUGCGUUAUCCGGAUUUAUUGGGUUUAAAGGGAGCGUAGGCUGUUUGUUAAGCGUGUUGUGAAAUGUAAGAGCUCAACUUUUAGAUUGCAGCGCGAACUGGCAGACUUGAGUGCGCACAACGUAGGCGGAAUUCAUGGUGUAGCGGUGAAAUGCUUAGAUAUCAUGACGAACUCCGACUGCGAAGGCAGCUUACGGGAGCGCAACUGACGCUAAAGCUCGAAGGUGCGGGUAUCGAACAGG
RNAcentral lists this ribosomal RNA (424 nucleotides) under Verrucomicrobiota bacterium. RNAcentral describes it as "Verrucomicrobia bacterium partial 16S ribosomal RNA". It matches the Rfam family "Bacterial small subunit ribosomal RNA", at positions 355 to 776 of the family's 1533-position model. Lineage: Bacteria; Pseudomonadati; Verrucomicrobiota. The record is from RNAcentral.